This 71-nucleotide transfer RNA is filed under the name Patescibacteria group bacterium. RNAcentral's name for it is "tRNA-His". It matches the Rfam family "tRNA". From Rfam's summary of the family: Transfer RNA (tRNA) molecules are approximately 80 nucleotides in length. Their secondary structure includes four short double-helical elements and three loops (D, anti-codon, and T loops). Further hydrogen bonds mediate the characteristic L-shaped molecular structure. tRNAs have two regions of fundamental functional importance: the anti-codon, which is responsible for specific mRNA codon recognition, and the 3' end, to which the tRNAs corresponding amino acid is attached (by aminoacyl-tRNA synthetases). tRNAs cope with the degeneracy of the genetic code in two manners: having more than one tRNA (with a specific anti-codon) for a particular amino acid; and 'wobble' base-pairing, i.e. permitting non-standard base-pairing at the 3rd anti-codon position. The record is from RNAcentral. RNAcentral also lists the same sequence under 1 other name.
GCGACUAUAGUUUAAUGGUAAAACCUCGGUUUGUGGAGCCGAAGUCGAGGGUCCGAUUCCCUCUAGUCGCC